This 271-nucleotide long non-coding RNA is filed under the name Mytilus galloprovincialis (Mediterranean mussel). Lineage: Eukaryota; Metazoa; Mollusca; Bivalvia; Mytilida; Mytilidae. The record is from RNAcentral.
GCACUGUAUUAGGUUAUUUUGUUUUAGAUUCAAUUGUUCUUUUUCUAUCAAGUUACUUUUUUCCACAGAAAUCACAAAUAGUUUUAAUCUGUUAUACUCUGAUUUAAUUUUUUUAUGCACACACGAAGGGUUUUUUAAAAAAGUGUGCGCCCCGCCAAAGGUUUGUUACAAAAAACUUUGCGCCCCGCUCAUUAAUUGCAUGAAAAAAGUAUGUGCCCCGUCCAUGUUUGCACCGGUCCCACCCUCAGAUAAAUAUUGCACAGUCCCUAAC